Molecule: transfer RNA, 67 nt
Filed under: Synapturanus sp. INPA-H29574
Lineage: Eukaryota; Metazoa; Chordata; Amphibia; Anura; Microhylidae
Description: tRNA-Val
Source: RNAcentral
CACAGUGUAGCUUACCAAAGCAUUUCGCUUACACCGAAAAAGACAUCUAAUAACUAGGUCACUGUGA